RNAcentral lists this ribosomal RNA (253 nucleotides) under uncultured bacterium. RNAcentral describes it as "partial 16S ribosomal RNA". It matches the Rfam family "Bacterial small subunit ribosomal RNA", at positions 524 to 776 of the family's 1533-position model. The record is from RNAcentral.
UACGGAGGGGGCAAGCGUUGUUCGGAUUUACUGGGCGUAAAGGGUGUGUAGGCGGCUGCGUAAGUCUGGUGUGAAAUCUUCGCGCUCAACGCGAAGCGGUCACUGGAAACUGCGUAACUCGAGUGUGGUAGAGGCAAGCGGAAUUCCUGGUGUAGCGGUGGAAUGUGUAGAUAUCAGGAAGAACACCUGUGGCGAAAGCGGCUUGCUGGGCCAUCACUGACGCUGAGACACGAAAGCGUGGGGAGCAAACGGG